This 440-nucleotide ribosomal RNA is filed under the name uncultured bacterium. Its description in RNAcentral is "partial 16S ribosomal RNA". It matches the Rfam family "Bacterial small subunit ribosomal RNA", at positions 338 to 795 of the family's 1533-position model. The record is from RNAcentral.
CCUACGGGGCGCUGCAGUGGGGGAUAUUGCACAAUGGGGGAAACCCUGAUGCAGCGACGCCGCGUGGGUGAAGAAGCGCCUCGGCGCGUAAAGCCCUGUCAGCAGGGAAGAAAAUGACGGUACCUGAAGAAGAAGCCCCGGCUAACUACGUGCCAGCAGCCGCGGUAAUACGUAGGGGGCAAGCGUUAUCCGGAUUUACUGGGUGUAAAGGGGGCGCAGACGGCGAUGCAAGCCAGGAGUGAAAGCCCGGGGCCCAACCCCGGGACUGCUCUUGGAACUGCGUGGCUAGAGUGCAGGAGGGGCAGGCGGAAUUCCUGAUGUAGCGGUGAAAUGCGUAGAUAUCAGGAGGAACACCGGUGGCGAAGGCGGCCUGCUGGACUGCAACUGACGUUGAGGCCCAAAAGCGUGGGGAGCAAACAGGAUUAGAUACCCUAGUAGUC